Molecule: ribosomal RNA, 460 nt
Filed under: uncultured bacterium
Lineage: Bacteria
Description: partial 16S ribosomal RNA
Rfam family: Bacterial small subunit ribosomal RNA
Source: RNAcentral
CCUACGGGUGGCAGCAGUGAGGAAUAUUGGUCAAUGGGCGAGAGCCUGAACCAGCCAAGUCGCGUGAGGGAAGACGGUCCUAUGGAUUGUAAACCUCUUUUGUCGGGGGGCAAAAAGGCCUCGUGAGGCCACAAGUGAGAGUACCCGAAGAAAGAACAUCGGCUAACUCGGUGCCAGCAGCCGCGUAAAUACGGAGGAAGCGAGCGGGAUUCGGAUUGAUUGGGUGGAAAGGGUGCGUAGGCGGACUGGAAAGUCAGCGGUAAAAUCAAGAGGCUCAACCUCUUUCCGCCGUUGAAACUGUCGGUCUUGAGUGGGCGAGAAGUAUGCGGAAUGCGUGGUGUAGCGGUGAAAUGCAUAGAUAUCACGCAGAACUCCGAUUGCGAAGGCAGCAUACCGGCGCCCGACUGACGCUGAGGCACGAAAGCGUGGGUAUCGAACAGGAUUAGAUACCCCAGUAGUC